GAGUUUGAUCCUGGCUCAGGACGAACGCUGGCGGCGUGCCUAACACAUGCAAGUCGAACGAAGCUUUGAGGAGCUUGCUUUUUAAAGCUUAGUGGCGGACGGGUGAGUAACGCGUGAGCAACCUGCCUCUCAGAGGGGGAUAACGUUUUGAAAAGAACGCUAAUACCGCAUAAUAUAUCGGAACCGCAUGAUUCUGAUAUCAAAGGAGCAAUCCGCUGAGAGAUGGGCUCGCGUCCGAUUAGUUAGUUGGUGAGGUAACGGCUCACCAAGACUACGAUCGGUAGCCGGACUGAGAGGUUGAUCGGCCACAUUGGGACUGAGACACGGCCCAGACUCCUACGGGAGGCAGCAGUGGGGGAUAUUGCGCAAUGGGGGAAACCCUGACGCAGCAACGCCGCGUGAAGGAAGAAGGUCUUCGGAUUGUAAACUUCUUUUGUCAGGGACGAAGAAAGUGACGGUACCUGACGAAUAAGCUCCGGCUAACUACGUGCCAGCCGCCGCGGUAAUUC
Molecule: ribosomal RNA, 509 nt
Filed under: uncultured bacterium
Lineage: Bacteria
Description: bacterial SSU rRNA
Rfam family: Bacterial small subunit ribosomal RNA
Source: RNAcentral